Molecule: long non-coding RNA, 13700 nt
Organism: Equus caballus (horse)
Lineage: Eukaryota; Metazoa; Chordata; Mammalia; Perissodactyla; Equidae
Source: Ensembl
CUGUAAUUCAUUUAGAGAUACAUUUAGUAUGUGGUUUAAGGAGGAACUCAAAGGUAAUUUUUUCCCAAAUUCAAAACCAACACAAAUUUUUGACAAGUUCUUCCCUUCCUAUAUCUGUCGAGUGUUGAAUCCUAACACGCAAGCACACACACACCACACCCUCCACACGUUUCCUCUCUCCUGGCUGUCUCUGGUUUUCUUUCUAGCUGCCCGUUUCCUUACCUGGACCUCUUACUUUUGUGAUGUAGCACUUAUCCCCUGCCUUGCAACCAGUGUCGAUUGUCUCAUUUAGAUAAUUCUCUAGAUCAGCUUCUCCCAAACUGUGUUUUGACGAAUUCUCUGCAACAUACAGUGCAAAAAUCCUGUCACAUCUCUUGUUUCUCCAACUUAAACUUAAUAAUAGAUCAAAUUGCCACUUUCCAUGUUUAACCAAGAAUGCUGGGCGUAGUUCAGUCUAAAAGAUCUGUGCCUGUGGCACCCAUCUUAAUUUCACAACGAGGUUGGGAGGCCAGUUGACUGCUCAGUCAUGCAAAUGGAUUCUCUCUUCUCCUCUGUGAACACAGAAGUCUUAAGCAUCUUGAGACUGGAUAAGGUCACAAAUGGCUUUCUUCCACCAUUACACUGGGACCACGAGUGAUAACUCUCCACACGCUGUCAAACCAAGAGAGCCACUCUGGACAGUGUCUGUAAGACAAACACACUGUUCCUACAUCUAUUGUAGUGUUUAAUAGUUUGUUUUGUUAAUUUGCCUUUUUAUAAGUCUGGCUUCCCCAACAUCAUUUGAGUUGCUGGAGGGCAAGAAACAUAUCCUUCAUUCUGCGUCUGCAGUGUGGAGCACAGGAUCUAUCACGUGGUUGAGGCUUAAUUACUAUUCAUUAGUGAGAGAUUUACUUUCCUAAGCCCCACCCUCUCCCCCAAACCAACCUCCACCAACCAGCCAGUUGACCAACCAUCACACCGUCAACUAGAAGCGGUGGCAUAGUUGUCAAGACAGUUUCCCAAAUUUACUUAACUCAGUCGUGUUUGUAUGCAGUCAGGCUGUUUCAAUAAUUGGAUCUAAAUUCUGUGGCAAAUCCAGAACUGAAUCAGACAUGAUUCCCCUCCUCAGGGACCUCAGAAUUCCUAAAGAUGGAUGACACAUUAGCUUAAAUAUAUUCAGAGGGAAACUGAUGGGUGCCACACAAGCUGUGUAUCAGGAGGGAGAGGAGAGGGGAGGAGAAUAAUCUCUUUCCCCAUUAACCUUUGGGCAUAAGAAACACCAUAAUUUUGGUCCUAUUAAAGGCUGCCGCAUGAUUAAUAUUUCCAUCUAAGAAGCAAUUAAGGAAUUAUUAUCCAGGGAGGUUGUGACAAAAGGAAUUAAAGCACGCCAGCUCUGUUCAGGCAGAAUAAGGCUCAGCUUUGAGUAUUGAAAAUUAAGUCUAUUUAGACUCUAAAGGCUUACAUUUUGUCCUUAACUUUUGCUCAGAUGCUGUAUGGGAACCACUGCGUGGAUAAGUAAUAAAUUAUCUGGAACUACUUAGCGAAUACAGUCUAUGGUGCUAAAUGGAAUACGUUAUAAUCACGGUGUGAUAAUCAGAAUAAUAAGAAUUUAACGUGUAGCAGACUCCAAGGGCCAACAAUCUGUUUUAGUCCAUUAAAGCACUUGCAUUUUGGGAUAGAAAACUGUAUUUUCCAGUGUUACAGGAGGUGCUUAAUUAUUUCCAACCAUUAUUGAAAUAGUGGCGGAAUCAUCUUGCCUCAGUGCUGUAAUCAUAUUGUGUUCACAAGUGCAUCUAAUUAUAAACAUUUUAUCGGAAAAUUUUGCAAACCCAGUUGUUUUUUUUAAGGUGCUAAAUGGAAAGGCUUUCUCCAAUGCCUGUAAAACAACUUUUAAAAAAAUACAGAAGACAUAACUCAAAAAUAGGUACGUCUCCCAUGCCCACAGAUUCAUGGAAGGGUAGAGUAGUGGGAAAUUUUUCCUUUACCCAGGAGAAGAGAGUGGCCUGAGAGUAGAGUUGGGAGCAAAACCUGUCCUUCCUUAUCUUCUGCUGAGGGCUUGGAAGCCUAUAUGGUAUUGUCUUUAGUGGAUUUUUUUUUAAUGGAAGGAGUGGGAUUUUUAUGUCCCACUUUGAGAAAUGGAGACACGGAGGCGGCCUGUCAUGAAACAACUCAGCUGAGCCAUGUAGGUAGUACAUGGUAGGUCUCUGAUUACAGUCAGAGUCUUUUUGCUGCUGUUUCCUCCAUGGCACCUGGCUUGGAGCUGGGCUCCUCCAGCGACACUGUCCUCUGCUGUAGCAUCAGGGUUUCCUAACUGGUGUCUCUCCACACCUUCAAAGAGGUCCGUGCUCCUCCUGGAAGCACCAGAGUCUGUCAGGAAGGGACCUGGAUGUUCCUGUGGGCCUAGUUAGGGUGGGUUCAUUACGAGAAUCGACCUCAAUUUAACAAAUGUUUAUUCAACACUUACCAUAUGCCAGGCACUGCUCUAGAAGCUGGAGACAACAAAUAAAACGAAAACCUUCUCUCAAAGAGCUCACAGUCUAGAAUAGAGAUGGGCCAGGAGGAGCAAAGAGGAGAGGGUUACAGCAGGUCCUUGGUCUUGGAAGACGUCCUCAAGAAUGAAGGAGUCUUAUUCCACACUUUAGAUGAAAAGUUUCUUUGCUCUGAAUUUCUGGAUUUCCACAGAUCCCAGUGAAGCGACAUUCUACUCAUGCCUUUCGUCCACCAGCUUCACAAAAUACCUGCUUGUCUACACUAGCCAUUUCUCUCAGCCCUUUUCAGAAAUUUUCCAUAUGAUUAACGCGACAUUUAAAAACCUCCAUUUUGGGUAGGUUUGCAGGAGAUUCCACACAGCUGGAGCUGUCACUGGGUCAUGCUGAGUGAUGAAUUAGCCAGAACGCAGCUCUGGAAAUGCUGUCACUUUCCUCCAUUGCUGCAGGAGACAUGGAUGCGUCCCUACAUCAUUGAUGCUCCCAGUAACACUCGAGGUCGACAACAGAGCUCUGCGUACAGAUAACCCUCCUGAGGUGAGCCCUGGGACACUCGAGGGGCAGCAGAUACGCAUGGAGCUCCUCACAAAAGAGCGAUUCUCCUCCCCUGCUAUCGGCUAACCAUGGAACCCUGAAUCACUCCUUGGUUACAGGUUUCCUUUUUCUUUCCACCACUGUUCACACGACAUGUUUCUGUUUUUCUAGGUGGGACACUGGAACAGUGUGGGGAAGCUGUCUUAUCAUUUUCUCGGGAAGUCUGGAAUUAUCCCAAGGUGAGACAUGGUGUCUGGCUGAGCGAGCCACAGGUCCCCAUCUCCACGUCAGCAUGGAUAUGACUCAGUGCCAGGCAGGUUGUGCUUGUGGGUCAGGACACCCUCUCUCUGGAGCCUGCCUGGGCAGUCUCUAUUUCUGCCUUUUUAACCUUAAUGCUCUGGGUUUUCAUUCCCUGCUGUUCACAGCCCUUUGUGAAAGAGGGAACAAGAAAAAUGGUUAGGUUUCUGCUCAUUAAGCUACAAUCACAGUCGCUUCUCUCUGAGGUGGUACCCAGGGCACCUUGGGUAGAGUUCGGUGGCUCCUGUAUUCUCUGGUCAAAGUCUCUUGGUUCGGUCCUGUGGAUGGCCCAUCACAGUGUUUGUGGUGGUUUAAUCUCCAGACGACAGUCUUAUUCUUGUCUCUCCCAGUUCUAGGGCUCGUCCUGCCCUGAGAGGAAAAGCAGCUGUCAUUUCCUUUACAUCUGUGUGUGUAAUUGACAAGGAAAGCCAAGGAGGGAGUCUGAAGCUAGCUUUCAAUUCCUGCUUGCCCAGGCAGGGAGAAAACCAUCAGACAGGGGUGGCCCACUGAGCAGUGUUCCGUCAGGUCCAGUGCAACUUCAUUUAAGUCAGGUCCUUCCUGUUCGCACGCUCCAGGAGGCCUCAUAGCUGCUCCCUUGCUCCUCGGCCUGCCUCUGAAGGCAGGCGCUCUCUGUCCACCAACUGGCCAGUUCUGGCUGCUGCUCCCUGGGUGCUGGGGGUGCUGCCUUCUCUGCUUUGUAGGGUGAAGGGGGGAUUGUCCCUCUGCCUCCGUGGAGAGUGGGGAUCCUUCAUGCUGACACGGAGCGACCCCUGGGGAUGCUAGAAGCACAGCCUCGUUUCAUCCCCCCUGGAGGAUGUGUAGACAGCCUUGGACUUCCCUCGGGGUGUGGUGCUGGUGGUCAGGAUCCAGGAGAGCACGUCUGUGUCUCCAUCUCCAAGGAUACAACUCUGGUCCAAGCCACCUCUGCCUCUACGGGAACUACUCUCUGGAACUACUGUGUGGUUUUCUGAACUGGUUUCUCUGUGUCUCCCAGUCUUGCUUCUUUCUGUCCACUUUCCACCCCACAGCUGGCGUUCUAUAAAUGAGACCAUGACGCUUAAAAUCCUCCAGUGGCAUCCUCGCCUCAAACCACUCUGCCUUUGCUCAUGAAUUCGUCCCUGCCUCAGGCCCUUGGUCCUUGCUGUUCCCUCUGGCUGCAGAGUUGGUCACGUGUUUGGGUCUGUUUCGUUCUUCAGAUUUGUUCAAAUGUCCUCUCUUCAAGUAAAGCUUCCUUGAUCCUUAACUGUCACAUCCAUAACCCUACCUGGCCUGAGGUACCAUCUAUAACGUCAUCCUUUCUACGGUCAUCAGAGCACUGAUGAUCUGAACUCAUCUUUGUUGUGGUUGUGGCUGUUUUCGUUGUUCAUAUUCACAAAGGAAAGAUCUCGCUUGCCCGGUCGAGGACUGUUCUCCCAAUGCUUGUAACUCAGCAGCCACUCAAGAAAAUAUGUUGUUGAGUGAAUCUCUUUACAAAGCUCUAGGUUUUCAGCUAUUUAGCUGCAGCUUCUACAAUCAUUCCAAAGCCCCAUGCGGUCAGGAGUAUGACAAUGGAAAGAAGCUUCUUGAAAUCUUGUCUCUGUGGAGCUGAGGGUUUAGUUGUCUCUUGCAGGUCGGGGCAUCAGCAUCCUCAUCUCUGAUCGGAACAGUUUGAAAUGGACCAGACAAGCUCUGAUGAUCUUUCUGCUCUAAUUUUGAUGAUUUCAGUGUAAGAUCCUGUCUCUCCGGGGUCCUCCAUCCUCUCAGAUUCUGGAAUGGGAAUAAUAGCACACAGAUACAGAUGGCAUUCCAGUGGAGGCUGUGUAUUUAUGAGAUGGCUGUAUUGACUAAUCUUGCUUUUUUUUUUUGGUUUUGGAAAAAAGUUUCUCUGAUUUAGUUAUAAGUGUGAUUUAAAAAAGUUUAAAUUUUUUUUUGAGAGUAAGAGACUCAUGCGUGGGGCACAUCAGUGUUGCAUUGAAGAGUUGUGAGCCGCGUUCUUGGAGUGUGCCUGGCGGGGUCCCAUCUGGCCACAUAGGAGACGGAGCUGACUUCCCUCUUCUCCUCUCACAGGCCCGAACCUGUGGGGGCAGGAAGCUAAUUAUCACCUCCUAGGAUGCUUGGGGCCUCCUCGUGUCUUGAAAGGACUGUCCUCAUGCUGGUCCUCACAAAAGAUGAGACCCACUUGGACGAUUAUUUCCUUGGCCCCGUGCCUCUCUCUGUGCGUGAGAGCUUGAUGUGCCCAAACUUUGAUCAUGAGGCUCGUGCAGAGUUCAAUGUGGAGAGAAGUGUUGGCUGAGGAGGCCCCAAAGCCCCCCACCUGGUGGUUAUAAUGAAUGUGGGUGUCCACCCUGUGCUGAGUCCCUGCAGGGCUCUGGAAAAGGCCGCUGCAUGGAGCCCCCUCCCCACAGGUGUCAAGUCAAAGCGGGGAGUGUCACGCAUGCAAAACCUCUGCUUUACCAUGGCUCCUGUCGUCCCACCGGGCACUCAGCUGCCAGGAGGCUGAGAGGAGGUGGGUGUGGAAGGUCCAGCCUGUGUAGUCGAAGCCCUGGGAGGAUGGGGGGUGAGGGGUACCUGCCAAGAUGGAAGAUGCAGUGCCUUUGUCAGGACAGACUCAAGGCCCUCUCUCACCAAUGUGGAAACUCACACUUGGAGGGGCUGACCCUGUACUGUGCUCUGUGCCAGGCGAUCCACGCUCUCUGUCUCAUUUAGUCCUGAUGACAUCACGCAAAGCAGGAUUUUAGUUUUAAAUCACUAUUGCACAGAAAGUGCUCUUUUCAAAAGAUAAUUGUAUUGCCCAAAGUCACACAGUCAGUAUCUAGAGGGGAGACGUUCUGGUUUUCUUUUGCUGGUGACAGACAAUCACCAAACUUAGUGGUAGAAAAUGAUAGUCGUUUCUUAGGCUCACAGAUUCUGUGGGUCGGGACCUGGGGCAGAGCACGGGGGCAUCUCUGCUCCACCAGGGGCUCCAAUGACUGCAGGUGUUCUGGAAGGCUGGGCUCCUGGGACUAUUGCCAAGAGCACCUACACAUGACCUCUACAUGUGGCUUGGGCUCAUCCCAACACAGUUCCUGGUUUCUGGAGGAAGCACCCCAAGAGGGACCAUCAGAGACCAAGCAUUCCUAAAGACCAAAGCAGGAGGUACAAGGCUUCUCCUGACCUGGCAAGUCUCCUCGCAUCACUGCCUCCCUGCUCUAUGGCGGAAGCAGCCACAAAUCAGUCCCAUUUCACACGGACCCCACGGCUCCAUGGAAUGAGUGCCAAAGAAUUCAUGGCUGUGUUUUCAAACGGCCACACAGGAUUUGAAUCCAGGUCCCCUGACUCUACAGCCAUUGCCCUUCCCACUAGACAUGUUGCCUGGGUGUCGGAGGCAGUGUGUCCUGGGGGAGGCAUCAUGGAGAGGAUGUUUUCAACAUGGUUGCAUCACUAGGUCCCUAGGCCCUUUGAAAGAAAAUGCAGCCAGUAGCCUCAUGGAUUGGGAGGUGGAAUCCUGGAGUGACAGCCGGUGGCUCCACCUGUGCAGCUCUGAUGACCUGCUGCAGCUCUCGUGCCUUGGGUUUUCCUCUAUGAGAAGGGGACAGUCACAGCAUCUCCCAGCCCAUGUGUAGGAUUCAGCGCCCAGGGCAUGUGAAAGCCUGGAGGACUUUCCAACCCUCUCUGCAGACAGGAGGGAGGCCUCUGUAUCCACGAGGAGGUCCUGCCGCCCGGCCUUCAGCUGGCUGCUCGCAGACACACUCAGUGGGGAAGCCAGCCUUCCAGCCCCCCAGAAUCCCAGAAGCCUAAGCAGACCCCCUCUGACUAUGGGGUCUUUUUCUUCCUUGAUUAUCUACAAAUAUCGUGCGUAACAAUGUACAUAAAUGUUGUUCUUUUGCCAAUUCAUCGCCUCCUGGAAAGUGUGAUAAACAUGCAGUCACCAUAUCCUCUUGAAGUCUUGGCCCCACUGAGUACUAGGUGAGUAACCAUACAUAUGUCUUGCAGUCUCUUAGGACCCUAGUUUUCUGCAAAGCAACGAUCAGUGUCUCUGUUUCUCAAGAAUGUUAUGAGAUUCAAUGAGCUGAUAGGAAAAAGUGUUUUCUAAUCCGAUAAGUGUAAAAUAUGUUACAAGUUUUUGUUAAGAUCAUUUCCUCCAGCACUUAGCAAGCGGAGUGCUUCACCCACAGCAAGUGCUCAAUAAAUAUGUACACUUUAGCCUUGAUUUACUCCAGACCCCAAAUGAAGUUCGUGUCAGAAGGCGAUUGGAGCGUUCAUCUCCCGUCCUACUUGGGGAUACACAUCACGGAAGCCCUUCCGUAUGGAUUGGCCGCACUGUGCUUUUUUCAAGAAAAAAUAACUGACCGUCAGUUUAAUUGAAUAGCUGAGGACCACAGCCCCCACUCCAGGCUCUCGCUCCAGGGCCAAAUCGGUGCGGGAAGGACAGUCUGCGCCUGUGAUGGGGGCUCCUCCUCCAGGAGACUCUGGAGGCUGAAUAAAUUUUUGCAGCAACUCACUUCAUCCAUGAGAGACUCAAUAACCUUUAUCUAGGAAAUGCAUUGGAACAGUCCUCCACACAUCGGGCCUCUGCAGAAAGAGUGACCAGGACAAACUCGCGAGAGACCAGUCGUAGUACGGGGCCCAUUUCUGAAUGUUUUCCAUCGGCUCCAUUUUUAUUGUAAUCAAUGGCCCUGUGUUUUCAGCAGCAGGCGGUGUUAGGCUCCCGCUGUGUGCUCAGUGCUGUUUUAGACGCUACGGGGACCACAGAUAGAAGAAGCUGUCCGUGCAUUGAUGAGAGGCGUUUUGGCGUGUGUGCUGAGAAUCUUUCUGAGCACUACACUGACUGCACGUAAAGACCAGACCACGAGGCUGGGCACAGGUGUCAGGGCUGGGCUUGUGAAGAGGGAACAGCCCAGGCAGUCAGCGACUGAGUUGUGUUUAGUUCAAUUCCCUCUAACUAGCUAUGCAGCGUUGGGCAAGUUGCUUAGCCAGUGCGAGUCUCCUUGUCUUACCUGUUAAAUGGGCUCAAACAGAAGGAGAGAAUCCACUGGGAGCUGGAGAGUAAAGUUUCGAACUCAGCUAAUCCAGUAAACAGUUAUUGGGCUCCUUUGAAGGAAAGAUGAGAGGAAACUGCCUUGGAUGGUGUUUUGAUGAUCUGUUGCUGCCUAAAAAUCUGCCCCCAAACUUAGCGGCUUGAACAACCACCAUUUAAUGAUAUCCCACAAUUCCAUGGGUUGACUGGGUCUCAACUGGCUGGUUCCUCUACUGUAUGUCUUGAGAUUUCUCAUGAACUUGCCGUCAGAUGGGGCUGGACCCUCGGCCCCAUCUCUGCCUCCAUGUGGCCUCUAUCUCCAUGUGGCUUGUCAUCCUCGGGGUUCUCUCCGUAUGGCCUCUCUCUCUACCCUGGACUUUUUACAGGGUCAGCCUUGGGGCUCCACGUGGAGGAGUUGGAACUGGUCAGGCUUUCUCAAUGCCUGGACUCGCAAGUCUCAGGACGUCGCUUCCCCCACCUUCUAGUGGUCAAAGCAGUAACAGGCCCAGACCAGACUCCAGGGGAGGGGUGCAAGUUCUAUCUCUCGAGAGGAUUGCAGAGAGAUUUGGGGCAAUCUUAAGUGUCCCCAAGCACCAGCUCUGAGCCCUUCCCCAGCAGGCUUUUGGUGAUGGGGGAUGUGCAAGUCACAGUUUUGGAAGACCCAGUGCUGACAGGGAGGUGGGUGGAACCACCACCCAACAGGUGCAGCUCUGUGGCACGAAGGCCUUCAAAUUUGACUUUGUCAGGGCUGCUAGCGUUUUCUAGGCUUUCAAGGAUUUAUUCACAUAAACAAACCUCACAGGAGACAGUUGUGUGACCUAGACUAUUGAUGCGUUUAUCUACAAUGCUACAUUUACUUUUCCCUCAACAUAACGUCUGGGAGGCUGAAUUCUUCCUCAGACCAUUUCAGCCCUGGGCUCAGGCAAGGAGCAUAAGGAUUCCUGGGGAAAGUCUUAUUCAGGGUGGAAUAACGCUGCAGAACCAUCCCAACCUAGAGUCUCCUGGACCCUUCUCUGACUUGUGGCUUUUGCCCUCUCUUUUCCAAGGACCAUGUAGAUCCUGCUUCUGCUCAUAUUUUUUCUUCAGCUAUAUCAAUACUAUUGAUAAAGGUAUAGAUUAUCAUAUUGAGGCAAGUCUUGGUCAAAUUUGAACAUCGUAUUCUUUCUGCUUUGACUUGAGAGGAUUCAGACGUUUGAUGGUGACUCACAGAUAACUCAUGGCCCUCAUCCAGUGUCAGCUUCAUUAGAGUAACUCACUGCCAAGCUCAGGGAAUGGGUUAGGGCCGUGAGGGCUUCCUGUGCAUCACUGUGGGGGAGACGGGAGCUCCAACAACAAGCCACAGCCCAGGGUGAGUGUGAUAAGUGCCAGCACUUGACAAAUAUAGUGACAGUACAGCAUGCAAGAGGGACACAUUUGUUUCAAUUGGUCCAACCUGGGAGGACUUUAAUGAGGAUUGUAUGGAAGAGAUAUCUGGACAGAAUUAUGAAACCUGGCUUUUUGAGGGUUAUGGAAAAGGACAAAGAAAGCAGGAAGGUGGACUGACACAUGGCAUUUAGGAAACAUGGGUAGAUGAGUAUGAACUAUAAAGGGUCGUAGAUACUGAAGUUGUAACAAUUGGUGUGAUUAUUUGUUGCGUCUUGUUUUGAAUUUCCCAACUAAGGUGGAUGUUCCUUGAAGGUCGAGACCAUGUAUUAUACUGAAGUUUCUUGGCACAGAUUUUUAAAAAUAAGAUGAGAUAGCAAGGUGAUGGACACUCAAGGGGAGACAGAUGUGUAGUCGGCAGACUCAUGGCCCCCAAGAGGAGUCUAUGAUCUAAUUCCUAGGGCUGUAAAUAUGAUGAGAUGCCACAUCUAUGAAUAUGUUACCUUACAGGGAAAAAGGGACUUUGCAGAUAGAAUUAAGGUUAGUAAUCAGUGACUUUAAGAUAAGAAGAUUAUCCUGGAUCAUCUGGGUGAACUGAUUGUAAUUGCAUGAGUCCUUAAAAGCAGAGGGAGAAGGGGAAGUCAGAGAUUCAAAACAUAAGAAACACUCAACAAGCAUGUUGGCCUCAUGUGCCAAGGAAAUGGGACCUCAGUCCUACAACCACAAGAAACUGCCAAUAACCUGAAUGAGCCUAGAAGUGGGUUCUCCCCAUGACCCUCCAGACAAGACCCCAGGCUGGCCAACCAAUACCUUGACUUUGGUCUCAUGAGCUUCUGAGCAGAGAACCCAGUCAUGCUGUGCUGGAUGUCUGACCCACAGAAACCAUGAGAUAAUAAAUGUAUGCUGUUUUAAGCCACUAAAGUUGCUGUAAAUUUUUACAGUGGUGUUAGGAAACUAAUGGAGAUGACACGUUUUCUCCUCCUCCUCUGUCUCUUUCCCUUUUCCUCUUCUCCUCCUCUUGUCCAGCUGAGGUUCUCUGCAGCCUUCAGCGGGAGGCGGAUACCAGAGGAGUGUUGCCGUCUUACCUAGAAGAGACGGGCGGUGGAGGCAAGAUUGUUCAGGGAGUUGGGUUGAAUGUGGGGCUCGUGCCUGCUAAGCUAAGCUGUUGGAGACACCCCGGAAAUGGCUUCCUUCCACAGGAGGACUCCUGGGCUGCUUUCACGCCUUUAUCAGCUUGGGGUGCCUGAGCAGAAAUUGGCAUUCUGCAAGCUCAUCCUCGGCUCAUAUCUCAUCCUCCUUCCUCUCCUUUGCUUCUUGCUCACUGUGCAAAAGUUCCUCCCCACAGGGUGCCUUGAAGAUGAAGUGGAAUCGUCAUUCACACUUCCUUAAGAAAUCCCUUUUUUGGAGACUGUCUUAACUUGGUCAGAUUUUGAGAAUUAGCACUAACAUAUGGAUGUGUUUUAUUCAGUCCUGGUGGAGUUUGCAGACCUCCUCAAGAGGAAGUUUGUUAACUCCAAUGUUUUUUUCAUUACCCAGGUAUAGUAUUUUAUUUAUUCCUUUCUUCCUUUAGUUAGCAUUGGGAAGGUUUUUGUUGUUCUUCGCCUUUUACGAAACAAUCACUUCUCCAUUUGGUUGAUGCAUUCUGUAAGGCACAAAGCCAGCGCCUCUGUGAAGUCUUUCUUGAUUCGUGACUUGUCACUCCCACCUAUUUUUGUACGUCCCAUGGACAUCAUUCUUAUCAGGCCAUAUUGAGUUCUCGGUAGAUGUGUUCCCUCCCCUUCUGGAUUGAGGGUCCCUAUGUGUCUUGUCUCUCCAGCAUCCAGGAUAAUGGGGGAGCCCAGGGGCUGCUCGGUGAAAGGAUGGGAAAGGAGCAAUGAAUGCAGAGGCAGCCUGCUAAAACGCAGACAGAUGGGACCUGCCAGAUUGCAGAAAGCAGCUGCGUGUGAGGCAUAAAAACCAAAGCAGUUAAUUAAAAACAUUUUUAUUUGACCUGAUUAAAAAGAAGUAAAGGCUGUGAGACGUUUCUACUGAGGAAUUAAGGAGGAUAGGAGUCAAGUGGAGGGCAAAUAUGCACUCUGGGAAGGGGAGAGGCCAAGGAACCAGGAGUUCUCUGCUGGAGUCUUAGCAUGGCCACUGGCACAUGGUGACCUUGGGCCUUGGACUUUCCACCCAAGGUGACGAGGAUUUUGCAUUCCCUGAGGACUGAGAGCUCUUUCACCAGGCAUCGAUUGUGCUGGCUGAGCAGGCCAGGAAGAGCAGUCACUGUUAACACCGCGCCUGAGCUGGAUGGAGUCUAAUCCAGGAUCAAGGUAGGUGAAACAGAAAGUCAAGGCCCCACUAACAUUUCCUAGUUGCACAGUUAUUGUUUUGACCUGGGAGCAUGCCCACUAGGGUCUCCAAAUUCCUGUAUGGAGAACAAAUGCACAUUCCCGCAUUUAUCUUCGCUCCUUGGAACCCCUGUCCCUGUGUUUGCUGAUGUCCCUUUAGGGGGAGAAUGGGAACCUAACUUGGUUUUGCUGUGGUCCCUAGAAACUACAAAAGCCAGCUGGGUGGGAGCCAAGAGGGAGCCUCGCUUUGCAGAGGGUUAACAUAAAAACAGCCUUCCUCCUGAAAUUGCCCCCUUCCAUGACCCCAGGCAGAGAAUUCUCCCUCGGGAAGGACCUUACCCACCAGAGAACAAGUUGUUUUUCAGAAGAGGAAACCUGAGAUCUCCCCAAGGGGAAGCUAACCCAAGACCAGAGCAGCCAAGGUUUACUGCUUUUGUCUUUCUGUAGCAAAGCGGGUGCUUUGCUUUCUCACAGUGAAAUCUCAGUAGGCAAAGAAGCAGCUGAGAUUUCUGGUCUCUGCUUGGUGUGGCGGGCAGUAGACUGACAAAGGAUAUGGGAAGAUUUUGCUUUGCACUUAGUGCCUGGUGCUGAAGGGCCCAAGCAGAUGGAGAAAUACAGGUGACACUAAGGACAUCCCCACAACCAGGCCUGCAAGGUCUUUGUGAAGUAAAGUGCCUCGUUCCAAAGCAGGCUGGAGACCCAGUAGCUGACUAAGAACACAUGAGGCCAUGUACCCGGGAGCUCAGGAAUGCUUCUCUCCUGGAGAUCAGGGCUGCAUAGUCCCUGGAGAGCUUUCCUCCUAGAUGAAGGGAUGCUUCUUUAUGGGAUGGAGUAGUAGCAAGUCCUUUGGAAUUCAGCCUCUGCCGCUUAAUAGCCGUGUGACAUUGGCCAAAUUUUCUAGUCGAAGGUUCCUUACUUGACAACUUGGAAAAUGAACAUUUGCCCCAUUGAUUCGUUGUGAAGGUUGAAUUAUUUAACAUAUACAGGACUUCUUUAAUGGCCUCAGGUUAUCAGCUCUUGCCAGAUUUUCUCCCAGUUGCCAUAUGAAUGUUAAUGAAAUUACGCAAAAACAGUUCUGAAAAUAGGAGCAGUCACUGGUCACAACAUUUUGGGGGAAAUUUUCCUAACCGCAAUUCUGAUGAAGGAUUCAUCAGGUACUUACUGUCUCCUGGCCUCUUUUUCUUAUCAGUGCAAGUAGUUUAUAACCUUGUUUGAUAAUUAGCCUUCUACCCAUAAUUCUCAGCUUCUUUGGUGGCACGGGUUCUAUCCACUGUCUCCUCUGAAAGGGACGGUGCCAGUUGCUGGGGAAUAAGUAGGAAGAACAACCACUUCUCUUCCUAUUGUCUGCCCAUAGGUCAGAGAAAGACUCUGCUCCAACCAAGGAACAGCCAGGACUCUUUCCGAGGGGCAGAAGCUUGCCCACCAUCUCCUGCUUUCAUUGGAUCUAUUCUGCUCUUUCCAGAGUCUAUAAUUUGCAUAUACAACCUCACCAUUGUGCAUUGCAUCCUGGGGGCUGUUGUGGAAAAGGAUGGAGAAAGAUGUCUUCCUGUCUGUUGACUGAGAGGCCCAGAAGUCAUGACCAGCCCAGAAAGCGGUGGGCAUACCUAGAGUUAAGACUGUGACCUCUAAAACCAUUGACCACGGAGAGGAACCAGAGCUUCCUGGAGAAUUGGCAGAUUCCAGCUCUGGGGAAGAAAAGUUCAAGUAACAUUGGUUUAUAAAAUUUGCAUAUAUUUCAGG